Molecule: unclassified non-coding RNA, 477 nt
Filed under: Hevea brasiliensis (rubber tree)
Lineage: Eukaryota; Viridiplantae; Streptophyta; Magnoliopsida; Malpighiales; Euphorbiaceae
Source: RNAcentral
GUCAAGGGAGGGUUAGCAUAUCACAUCUAGCGAGCAAGUCUAACCAGUUCAUAGAUUUGGAGGGAAAAGCACAGUUUGUUGAGGAGAUCAGCAAUAUGGAGGAGAUAACCGCAGCCUGAACCGUACAUUUCAGAUGGAGCAAGUAGAGAUAAUUACAUAUAUCAAUACAUUUCGAGACGUAGAAAAAGAGAGAGAAACAGAGGAUGACUGUAUCACUCUCCAUACAUAGGAAGAGAAUGCAGUGGGUUGGACAUGGGAAGAUUUACAGAAUAGUUUUGAGAUGAUUUGGUUUUCCCUAACAAAUUAUGUUCAUUCUGACAGUACCUUUUGUAUUCUAAAUGGGAUACAGAACUAAAUUUGAAAUUUUUGUUCUUAAUCAAGCAACUGUUCUUUGUCAUGUCGUCGUCUUGUAAUAUGGAUUUAUGGCUAAGCAUGUGUAUAUAUAUGGAUAAUAUUGGUCAAUAAACACAACCCAAG